Molecule: ribosomal RNA, 253 nt
Filed under: uncultured bacterium
Lineage: Bacteria
Description: partial 16S ribosomal RNA
Rfam family: Bacterial small subunit ribosomal RNA
Source: RNAcentral
UACAGAGGUCCCGAGCGUUGUUCGGAUUCAUUGGGCGUAAAGGGUGCGUAGGCGGUCUUCUAAGUUUGAUGUGAAAUCCCGGGGCUUAACCCUGGAAUUGCAUUGAAUACUGGAGGACUUGAGUACCGGAGAGGAAACUGGAAUUUACGGUGUAGCAGUGAAAUGCGUAGAGAUCGUAAGGAAGACCAGUGGCGAAGGCGGCUCACUGGCCCGGUACUGACGCUGAGGUGCGAAAGCGUGGGGAGCAAACAGG